This is a long non-coding RNA of Lepidothrix coronata (blue-crowned manakin), 435 nucleotides long. RefSeq lists it as uncharacterized. NCBI's taxonomy places the organism in Eukaryota, Metazoa, Chordata, Aves, Passeriformes, Pipridae. The record is from RefSeq and is a predicted model, not a curated record. The transcript is spliced from 4 exons.
GACCGGCGCUCCCCGAUGGGAGAUGUAGUUCGGCCCCGGCGGGGCUGCUCCGGGGGGGAUGGAGCCGCUGGGGAUGCCCGGGGGACGCGUGAGGAUGCGGUUUCAGAUCUCUGGAAUUUAAAGCCAGUCAUAUGUUUUCUGCAAAGCCUCACACCUAAUUUUGGCCUAUGGGGGGUUAAUGCAGUAGCAGAGUGAUGACUGUGCUGUCUGGACAGCCUCCCUUCUGCCCUUGCUGCUUCCCCAGGGCUGAAAAAAGCUGCUUCAGCAACAGAGACAUCCUAAAGAGCUGCUGUGGAGUCUGCUCUUGGAUGGUCUUUCUGACAAAGCUCAGCAGGCAGUAGGAGCUGAUAGGCUUGAGGAAGGUUGGCAACAAAUGGAGUCGCAGCUUAUUUGGGUGGCAGAAGCAAGAAAGCCUAGGUGAAGAGCAAUGCUUCC